UGGGUUCGUUGGGGCCGACCACGCAGU
RNAcentral lists this non-coding RNA (27 nucleotides) under Bombyx mori (domestic silkworm). The record is from RNAcentral. Lineage: Eukaryota; Metazoa; Arthropoda; Insecta; Lepidoptera; Bombycidae.